Molecule: ribosomal RNA, 253 nt
Filed under: uncultured bacterium
Lineage: Bacteria
Description: partial 16S ribosomal RNA
Rfam family: Bacterial small subunit ribosomal RNA
Source: RNAcentral
UACGGGGGGGGCAAGCGUUGUCCGGAUUUAUUGGGCGUAAAGAGCGUGUAGGCGGCCAUACAGGUCAGCUGUGAAAACUCGAGGCUCAACCCCGAGCCUGCAGUGGAUACGGGCAGACUAGAGGUAGGUAGGGGAGAAUGGAAUUCCCGGUGUAGCGGUGAAAUGCGCAGAUAUCGGGAGGAACACCGAUGGCGAAGGCAGGUCUCUGGGCAUUAACUGACGCUGAGGAGCGAAAGCAUGGGGAGCGAACAGG